Non-coding RNA from Pocillopora verrucosa, 1729 nucleotides. Lineage: Eukaryota; Metazoa; Cnidaria; Anthozoa; Scleractinia; Pocilloporidae. The record is from RefSeq and is a predicted model, not a curated record.
AGUUGCCGUGAAUUUAGAAUUGAAAGAGUCGAUGUCGCACUGAAUAGUCAGUUUAUUUCGACAGUUGUGUUACAUUUGAUGACGGAUGAUGAUGACCUGUUCUAAAAACUCGUCUAAUCUUCACUUUGUACAUCGGAUAUGUAAAGUAACGUCUUUCUACCAUGAUGAAAUUCUAAUGUUUACAAGGAACCCCUCACAGGACAUAGACUUUGACUUAACAAACAUGGCAAAUAUUCUUGAUAUUCCUAGUCUGAGUGACAUGAUCCUUAGAGUAAUAUAUGAUGUUGUGGUGUGAUUUGUGGUUCUCCCAAACAGGACCACAGUCCCUUUGACUGAUGUUGAUCCAUAUGAACUGAAAUACCUCUUGCCUGAUGGUGUCCUUCACAUUGAAUUCCUGGAAGCUAAAUAGACUUAAUCAAGAAAGACAUUGUUAUCAUAUCUAAAGGUUCUUCAGAUCCAAAUGUCAUUCUCAGAGUGGCUUCCACUAGAGAAUGUGAAGAGUGGCCAGAUCAACUUGAGAUGCACAUGGUUCACACUGACUGCCAAACCAGAGGAUCUCCCACUGCCUGACUAAGCCAUUAUUGGUGAGGAGAUGUUAGCAACAGCAGCUCUUUUUGUUAAAUUGGACUCAGCCAAGAAUCUUCCACAAGUGAUACAAUGUCAGUUGAUGAGAAACAGUUUAUUCGGUAGCACUAAUUGUCAGUGAUUCCUUCGAAGAACAACCUUUGGGGCCAGUUGUAGAGGUUUCAACCGACUCAGUGCUCGUAAAAACGCCCAAAAUGGAUUCAAGCUGUUUUGUCCGAGGCGGCUCGGGGAAGGUUAACGUGCCAUCUUUCCUCACGUGUCCAUUGAAGAGAGUCGCUUGGAAAACUGAUUCAAAAUGGCUCUUUAAACGUUCCAGUUUCGUCUCAUCACACGGAGGACUGCAGAGUGCUGACCUCGCCUUUUAGUAAAGGAAGAAGCCUCACAGGCAGCGCGCUCCUGAGCCUCUGACUGCUCCACGUGAUCGGCUGGGCCUGCACAGAAGGGAGGGAAACAGUUCCAUGCCCUCUCUGGCAGAUAUGAUGGGGGUUUAAGAAAACCACAACUGCAACGGCAACGGGAACAUCACUAAACACAAGGUUUAAUGAACAGAACAAUGGCUUUGCACGUGCGUUGUAAAUUUUUCUAAAUUUCUCUGCGUCCUCUGCAAAACUACAACGUGAAAUCACCAAACUUUGCGUUGUUUUGGAGAACGUGACCGACGACGGCUAAUUUUUUAAAUUUCUAUUUCUAAUUUAACGCCGUGUUCCUUAUUCAGUUUCGAGAUAGAUUUGACAGUGAAAAACAAACUAAAUGACUUUAGCGUAUCGCGAGAUUCGUAGGUAAAAUAAAGGUUCACUUUUUAACCGACGUUGUCCACGGCAUCGCCGUCGUCGAUUCUUAAACUCGCUAUUGUUCAUGUGUGGCACAAACUGCAAUUUGAACAGUAAAUUAGCGAAUUGUGGCACAGGAAGCUAGUUUGUGGUGGUUUUUGUUAAGGAAGAAACACGUGUAAGUAUAUCGAGUGAGUCUGAGUUUUAGUCUUUCUAAAUCUCUGUCUUUUGGGAUCAAGCAACCAGUGUUCGUCAACAAAGUGAGAGGAAAGUGAUUCUAAAAUAACAUGUGAUCUUCCAAUAUCCUCAGAGUUAUUUCGCCUCCAAUUGCUCUAAUUAUGGGGCAUACUUAGGUAAUGGAAGUUUUGUUUAAA